AGUGAACGCUGGCGGUAGGCCUAACACAUGCAAGUCGAACGGCAGCACAGGAGAGAUUGCUCUCUGGGUGGCGAGUGGCGGACGGGCGAGGAAUACAUCGGAAUCUACUCUGUCGUGGGGGAUAACGUAGGGAAACUUACGCUAAUACCGCAUACGACCUACGGGGGAAAGCAGCGGAUCUUCGGACCUUGCGCGAUUGAAUGAGCCGAUGUCGGAUGAGCUAGUUGGCGGGGUAAAGGCCAACCAAGGCGACGAUCCGUAGCUGGUCUGAGAGGAUGAUCAGCCACACUGGAACUGAGACACGGUCCAGACUCCUACGGGAGGCAGCAGUGGGGAAUAUUGGACAAUGGGCGCAAGCCUGAUCCAGCCAUACCGCAUGGGUGAAGAAGGCCUUCGGGUUGUAAAGCCCUUUUGUUGGGAAAGAAAUCCAGCUGGCUAAUACCCGGUUGGGAUGACGGUACCCAAAGAAUAAGCACCGGCUAACUUCGUGCCAGCCGCCGCCGUAA
Molecule: ribosomal RNA, 506 nt
Filed under: uncultured bacterium
Lineage: Bacteria
Description: partial 16S ribosomal RNA
Rfam family: Bacterial small subunit ribosomal RNA
Source: RNAcentral